Long non-coding RNA from Eriocheir sinensis (Chinese mitten crab), 327 nucleotides. RefSeq lists it as uncharacterized. The record is from RefSeq and is a predicted model, not a curated record. NCBI's taxonomy places the organism in Eukaryota, Metazoa, Arthropoda, Malacostraca, Decapoda, Varunidae. The transcript is spliced from 3 exons.
AAGGGGUUGGGUUAGAUUAGGUUAGGUAAGAGGUCGGGUAAGAACAGGUUAGGUUAGGUAAGGGGUUGGGUUAGAUUAGGUUAGGUUAGCUAAGAGGUCGGUUUAAAUUAAGUGCACGUACCAACACACACAUUUCGGACCUAAUUCCGGGAAGCAUUUUUUGUCAUUUUCGAACUUACAGACAUUAACACUAUAGUAAUUUCGAACACGUUGUACCCAGUUCGAACCCCGCAUGAUCUUACUUCCCACGCACCUAAUUCACCCUCCCACUUUUUACGUCAACACAUUCUCCAUUUACUACAUUUUCCAACAUAUAAUCGCUUUUUG